RNAcentral lists this ribosomal RNA (253 nucleotides) under uncultured bacterium. RNAcentral's name for it is "partial 16S ribosomal RNA". It matches the Rfam family "Bacterial small subunit ribosomal RNA", at positions 524 to 776 of the family's 1533-position model. The record is from RNAcentral.
UACGUAGGGGGCAAGCGUUGUCCGGAUUUAUUGGGCGUAAAGAGCGUGUAGGCGGCCAGACAGGUCCGUUGUGAAAACUCGAGGCUCAACCUCGAGACGCCGAUGGAAACCGCCUGGCUAGAGUCCGGAAGAGGAGAGUGGAAUUCCUGGUGUAGCGGUGAAAUGCGCAGAUAUCAGGAAGAACACCCGUGGCUAAGGCGGCUCUCUAGUACGGUACUGACGCUGAGACGCGAAAGCGUGGGGAGCGAACAGG